Molecule: ribosomal RNA, 619 nt
Filed under: Acidobacteriota bacterium
Lineage: Bacteria; Pseudomonadati; Acidobacteriota
Description: bacterial SSU rRNA
Rfam family: Bacterial small subunit ribosomal RNA
Source: RNAcentral
GAGAGUUUGAUCCUGGCUCAGAAUCAACGCUGGCGGCGUGCCUAACACAUGCAAGUCGAACGAGAAAGUGGAGCAAUCCAUGAGUAAAGUGGCGACCGGGUGAGUAACACGUGACUAACCUGCCUUCGAGUGGGGGAUAACCUCGGGAAACCGGGGCUAAUACCGCAUAAUGCCUUCGGGUUAAAGGAGCAAUUCGCUUGAAGAGGGGGUCGCGGCUGAUUAGCUAGUUGGCGGGGUAAUGGCCCACCAAGGCAAUGAUCGGUAGCCGGCCUGAGAGGGCGCACGGCCACACUGGAACUGAAACACGGUCCAGACUCCUACGGGAGGCAGCAGUGGGGAAUUUUGCGCAAUGGGGGAAACCCUGACGCAGCAACGCCGCGUGGAGGAUGAAGUCCCUUGGGACGUAAACUCCUUUCGACCGGGACGAUGAUGACGGUACCGGUGGAAGAAGCCCCGGCUAACUUCGUGCCAGCAGCCGCGGUAAUACGAGGGGGGCGAGCGUUGUUCGGAAUUAUUGGGCGUAAAGGGCGCGUAGGCGGUGCGGUAAGUCACCUGUGAAACCUCUGGGCUUAACUCAGAGCCUGCAGGCGAAACUGCCGUGCUGGAGUGUGGGAGAGGU